GGAUGAACAGGAGUUAGGUGAAGAGGAGAACGAUGUCCAGGCAGGGGCCGGGGAAGCUCGUGCCAAGGCACUGAGGGGAAGUGCUGCAAUGAACCUCAGAGGCUGGAUCUUGCUGACUCAUCUGGGGUACCAAGGACAGACAAAGGACAUGGAGUCCAGGCCCAGGAGGCGAUACCAGGCCAGCAGUUUCACUGAUGCUCCUGUCAUGACGAUGACUGCCUCCCUCCUCCCCUUGGUCCCUGACUCAGUGUCUGCAGUGACCAGGCACCAGGCAGGGAGCAAGGAACCAAGCCUUUCACCUGCUCCCACCAACUCCUAUGGUGCUCCCUUUCCAAGGCUAGGUCUCCUCUCCACCCAGUUCCUUAUCACGUACCAUGAGAAGCUGUCACCUUGGCAACUGUCACCUUCUGGUGAGAUUUACAAUUGCACUGCUACAACUGCUUGUGGCAUGGUAAAGUUGCACCAGGACCUCUGCUGUCCAUGAGAUCAAAGUUCCAGGCCAAGGCACCAGGGGCACGAACAGUGUUGCCCGCAUGGAACUCACACUUAAUGGGAGCGGCAGCCAACAGGUAAAUAUAUAGAAUGCCAUAUGAUGAUAGAUGCUAUGAAGAACAUAAAGAAGGGAAGGUGUGUUGAGAGCGGAAAGGGUGCUGUUUAACAAAGGGCAGUUGGAGAAUGCCUCCCUGAUCAGGUGUUGAGCCCAGUGAAGGAAAGAAAUGAGGGAUCCAGCCAUACAAGUGCCUGGGGGAAGAGCCUUCCAGCAGAGAGACCAGCAAGUACUCAGGUGAGAGUGAUCUUGGUGUGUUCAAACAGCAGUUAGGAGGCCAGCGUGAGGCUGCAGUGGCGUGAGCCAGGUGGAGCCACUCAAAGGAUAGAGUUGUGAUUUAUGGUGAAGCGGGUUUGAAGGAUG
Molecule: long non-coding RNA, 910 nt
Filed under: Homo sapiens (human)
Lineage: Eukaryota; Metazoa; Chordata; Mammalia; Primates; Hominidae
Description: non-protein coding lnc-ABI3-2:4
Source: RNAcentral